AGGGUCCCAGCUAACUCUAUAUUUUGUUUCCCUUUACUCCAAUUCUUGUGUACUAAAGAGCAACCAAAAACCACAUUGAGUCUGAACUUUCUCAGAUUCUUCAGGUCAGCAUCAUCCCAGUACAUUUUAAAGUCCCUGUAUGUCUUUCCUAGAAGGAAGGUGGAGAGAGAAAGGAAGGAAGGAAGGAAAAAAGGAAAGAAGGAACAAAGGAACAAAGGAAUGAAGGGUGAGAGGAAGGAACAAAGGAAGAGAGGGAACAUUUAUUGUGUCUCGCAUGUGCCAGCAUAUUGAGAAAGAAAUAAGGGAAAGGAGCUUGUUGUUGUUGUUUCCUGUAUCCUGUCUCUUUGACAGCCCAGAGGAGCAGAGUGAGAUUUACAUGGUAGGAAGCUUCCUUAGUUUUCUCAUUUGAAGGUCAUUAUAAAGCCCACCUCCUGAAAAACGGCUGUUAACCUUCCCUGGUAAUUGGCACUUUUAUCUGUACUGUCACUCUUUGAGACUCUCAGAAUCACAAAAUCAUAGAUCCGAAACGACGUCAGCGCUGAAAUCCUAGAGAUUGUUACACAGAUUCUGACCUGUUUCAGGAACAUUAAUUUCCUUAGCAAUCGAGUACUGUUUAUGAACUCCUUUUCAGGAUAGUUGAUUUUUUAACAUAUAAAAAUGCACAAGAUUAUAAAGGAAAUUAAUUAUGUUGGAAUACGGUUAUAAAUCGUUUUGUUUUGUUUUUUUAAUACAUGGCUCCGGGUUCAGAACUCUUGGUUGAAGGAUUCUCCAGACACUCAUUUCAUUCAAGGUAACACACCUCUAUUAAGGAACAGCUUUUAAACUAUGCCAAGUCCUAGAUAUCUCAAACAAAACGCAGGCCUCUGCUUCUCCGUUAUUUUGUGGCAUGUGCUAGUAGAUGAGACUCGUGCAAAAUAAGAAAUUCAAAGAAGAGAUUUAAAAAGCAAGAUGUUAUGGAGGGAUUCCCAGCAGCAGUAAAAUGGUAAAUGAACGGCUCCUAGUGAAUCUUGCUGAGGUCUGUCGACUUCGCUUUUGGAACAUCUUUCAAUGCUGCCUUCGUCUCUCCUCCUACUGCCACCGUCCUAAUGCAGCAAUGUGACACCUCAUCUGAGCUGCUGCUAGAGGUGUCUUUACACUGGAGUAGAUUCUCCAUUAACAACCCAAGUAUGCUUUUCCAAAGCAUAGCGGAGAACAUGUCUUCUCCCCCAAUUCAAUAAACUCCAGUGACUCCACA
RNAcentral lists this long non-coding RNA (1234 nucleotides) under Monodelphis domestica (gray short-tailed opossum). Its description in RNAcentral is "lncRNA (ENSMODG00000037018.1)". Lineage: Eukaryota; Metazoa; Chordata; Mammalia; Didelphimorphia; Didelphidae. The record is from RNAcentral.